GACGAACGCUGGCGGCGCGCUUAACACAUGCAAGUCGAACGGAAAGGCCUGCUUUCCCUUGUGGAUUGCGGGUACUCGAGUGGCGAACGGGUGAGUAACACGUGAGUGAUCUGCCCCCAACUUGGGUAUAAGCCUGGGAAACUGGGUCUAAUUCCCGAUAGGACUGCAGGGUGGUGCCGGUGGUGGAAAACGUUUUUUUAGUGGUUGGGGAUGAGCUCGCGGCCUAUCAGCUUGUUGGUGGGGUAAUGGCCUACCAAGGCGGCGACGGGUAGCCGGCCUGAGAGGGUGGACGGCCACAUUGGGACUGAGAUACGGCCCAGACUCCUACGGGAGGCAGCAGUGGGGAAUAUUGCACAAUGGGCGGAAGCCUGAUGCAGCGACGCCGCGUGGGGGAUGACGGCCUUCGGGUUGUAAACUCCUUUCGACCGCGAGGAAGCCACCUGGUUGGAAGGGUGGUGACGGUAGUGGUAGAAGAAGCACCGGCUAACUACGUG
This 494-nucleotide ribosomal RNA is filed under the name uncultured bacterium. RNAcentral's name for it is "partial 16S ribosomal RNA". It matches the Rfam family "Bacterial small subunit ribosomal RNA", at positions 28 to 507 of the family's 1533-position model. The record is from RNAcentral.